AGUUUGAUCAUGGCUCAGGAUGAACGCUGGCGGUAUGCUUAACACAUGCAAGUCGAACGGAAUCCUUAGGGAUUUAGUGGCGGACGGGUGAGUAACGCGUGAGAAUCUGCCUUCAGGUCUGGGACAACCACUGGAAACGGUGGCUAAAACCGGAUGUGCAGCAAUGUGAAAUAUUUAUAGCCUGGAGAUGAGCUCGCGUCUGAUUAGCUAGUAGGUGUGGUAAGAGCGCACCUAGGCGACGAUCAGUAGCUGGUCUGAGAGGAUGAUCAGCCACACUGGGACUGAGACACGGCCCAGACUCCUACGGGAGGCAGCAGUGGGGAAUUUUCCGCAAUGGGCGAAAGCCUGACGGAGCAAUACCGCGUGAGGGAGGAAGGCUCUUGGGUUGUAAACCCCUUUUCUCAGGGAAGAACACAAUGACGGUACCUGAGGAAUAAGCAUCGGCUAACUCCGUGCCAGCAGCCGCGGUAAUACGGAGGAUGCAAGCGUUAUCCGGAAUGAUUGGGCGUAAAGCGUCUGUAGGUGGUUUGUGUAGUCCCAUGUCAAAUACCAGGACUUAACCCUGGGCCGGCAUGUGGAAACUCGCAAGC
RNAcentral lists this ribosomal RNA (590 nucleotides) under uncultured bacterium. RNAcentral describes it as "bacterial SSU rRNA". It matches the Rfam family "Bacterial small subunit ribosomal RNA", at positions 10 to 641 of the family's 1533-position model. The record is from RNAcentral.